RNAcentral lists this non-coding RNA (144 nucleotides) under Heptascelio sp. ZL-2020. The record is from RNAcentral. Lineage: Eukaryota; Metazoa; Arthropoda; Insecta; Hymenoptera; Scelionidae.
ACAAGCAUUUAUAAUUACUGCGUUACCUGUACAUGGUAUUCCAAUACAGGUUUUUAACAAAACUAACAAAACUUAAACAAUGGGUGAAUGUUUUCUGUUCUUACACCUUUUAUAAAAAUAGAACGGAGUGCUCGCAGAUUUUUU